AGACCCGAAACCCGGUGAUCUAGCCAUGGGCAGGUUGAAGGUUGGGUAACACUAACUGGAGGACCGAACCGACUAAUGUUGAAAAAUUAGCGGAUGACUUGUGGCUGGGGGUGAAAGGCCAAUCAAACCGGGAGAUAGCUGGUUCUCCCCGAAAGCUAUUUAGGUAGCGCCUCGUGAAUUCAUCUCCGGGGGUAGAGCACUGUUUCGGCAAGGGGGUCAUCCCGACUUACCAACCCGAUGCAAACUGCGAAUACCGGAGAAUGUUAUCACGGGAGACACACGGCGGGUGCUAACGUCCGUCGUGAAGAGGGAAACAACCCAGACCGCCAGCUAAGGUCCCAAAGUCAUGGUUAAGUGGGAAACGAUGUGGGAAGGCCCAGACAGCCAGGAUGUUGGCUUAGAAGCAGCCAUCAUUUAAAGAAAGCGUAAUAGCUCACUGGUCGAGUCGGCCUGCGCGGAAGAUGUAACGGGGCUAAACCAUGCACCGAAGCUGCGGCAGCGACACUGUGUGUUGUUGGGUAGGGGAGCGUUCUGUAAGCCUGUGAAGGUGUGCUGUGAGGCAUGCUGGAGGUAUCAGAAGUGCGAAUGCUGACAUAAGUAACGAUAAAGCGGGUGAAAAGCCCGCU
RNAcentral lists this ribosomal RNA (626 nucleotides) under Escherichia coli. Its description in RNAcentral is "partial 23S ribosomal RNA". It matches the Rfam family "Bacterial large subunit ribosomal RNA", at positions 711 to 1334 of the family's 2925-position model. The record is from RNAcentral. Lineage: Bacteria; Pseudomonadati; Pseudomonadota; Gammaproteobacteria; Enterobacterales; Enterobacteriaceae.